UGGCGCGCGGCAGCAGGGUUGGGCUCUCGCCGUGAGUCGACGAAGGGAGCGCGGGCGCGCGCCCGCGUCCGCGCACUGAGAGUCGCCUCGGCCGCUCGCUUUCUCGACUCCCGCCUCGCGCCUCGAUCCUGUUCCGCCUCCCUCGGCCCUCCUGCCCGCCCCCACUCGUCGGCCCUCAGGUACCUAAAAUGUCUCAUUAUUCAUCAAUUAAUGAAAAACAAAUGAAAAUUUGAGAGAGAUAUUCUGAAGAAUAAAAGGAUCAAGUUGGGUCAUUUCUAAAAUCUCAGAGACCUAAUAGGAUGGGGUCUUAGAGAAACAUCUUUUGAGCCACAGACUUCUUUGUUACCAGAAGGAAAAUGAAAGAAGAAAUUUAAAUACCACUUGAAGAGAGUUUCCUCAUCAGCAAAGUCAGAAAAAGUAUGUACCUGAAGGACUGAUUGUAAGGCUGGGAUGAGAGAAUCCAUGUGAUCAGCCCUCACCAACAGGUGCUGCCCAGUUCAUGAGUGCUGCUGCUGUCCUGCCCAAGUACCCAGCUUGCAGAGUGCCAGAGUUAGAGUCCCAGGGGUGUUCUCCACAGCUGCAUGCUUGAUCCAGGCCUAUCAGAUAUAUUCCAUUGAAAGUCCUCAUUCUCAAAUUUAAAACAAAGACUUUUUGUGUACCUCAAUAGCAAUGCACACACAGUUGGCUUCACAAACAUAUUGUACAUUUCUUUUUUUCAUAUUUAUUCAACAAAUGUAUAUUGACUACCCACCGUGUGACAGGUGUUAUUUGUUGACGGAACCAGGCAUCAUCAGCAAACAAAACUGACAAAGCUUCCUGCCCUCUGUGGAAGGCAUCUGAGGAAGAGACUGGAUUUUGUAGCAACAUGUUAUUCUCAUUAUAAACUUUAUCAUUGGAAUACUAAAGCCAAAUCAUCCCCCAUCUCCUUGAUCAGGAUACCCACUUAAUCUAGGCAGCUACACAAUUGUGAGAGCCUUUGUUUUUUUCUGCUGAAACAUCCUUAAAAAGAUACCUCACAACCCAAGAUUUGGCUUUUCUUAAAUACGAUUUUUAAUUUUUUUCAUUUCUAUCUAGAGAUUUAAUUGGAAAUGGAAAAUCAUCAAUUUUCCAAUUAAAUGUCUGUUCCAAUCAACAUUAUACCUUUUAGGUUGUCAUUGUCAUUUUUAAGUUUAAGCAACUUUAAGGAUUUUGAAUCUGGCUGCCUGUAAAUUAAAGGUGAAAGUAAUCAUUGUGUUGGAUUGGAACAUUUUGUCAAUUGAGAGUGGUUUCCUUGUUCUUAGUGUAUGAAAAGUUUAUUUUUCUAAUGUAGAUUAAUAAAGGAGAUAAAGAAAAACAAAA
Molecule: long non-coding RNA, 1338 nt
Filed under: Homo sapiens (human)
Lineage: Eukaryota; Metazoa; Chordata; Mammalia; Primates; Hominidae
Description: synapse stability regulating cerebellar lncRNA
Source: RNAcentral